CCUACGGGUGGCAGCAGUAGGGAAUUUUCCACAAUGGGCGAAACCCUGAUGCAGCGAUGCCGCGUGAGUGAAGAAGGAUUUCGGUAUGUAAAGCUCUAUCAGCAGGGAAGAAAAAAGACGGUACCUGACUAAUAAUCCCCGGCUAACGACGUGCCAGCAGCCGCGGCAAUACGCAGGCGGCAAGCGUUAGCCGUAUGGAGUGGGCGUAAAGGGACCGUAGGCGGCUGUGCAAGUCUGAAGUGAAAGGCCGUUGCUCAACCGAGGAACUGCGUUGGAACCUGGAUAGCUUGAGUGCUGGAGAGGGAGGCGGAAUUCCAGGUGUAGCGGUAAAAUGCGUAGAUAUAAGGAGGAACACCAGUGGCGAAGGCGGCCUGCUGGACAGAGGCUGACGUUGAGGCACGAAAGCGUGGGGAGCAAACAGGAUUAGAUACCCUAGUAGUC
RNAcentral lists this ribosomal RNA (441 nucleotides) under uncultured bacterium. Its description in RNAcentral is "partial 16S ribosomal RNA". It matches the Rfam family "Bacterial small subunit ribosomal RNA", at positions 338 to 795 of the family's 1533-position model. The record is from RNAcentral.